RNAcentral lists this small nuclear RNA (22 nucleotides) under Arabidopsis thaliana (thale cress). RNAcentral's name for it is "snRNA_11048". The record is from RNAcentral. Lineage: Eukaryota; Viridiplantae; Streptophyta; Magnoliopsida; Brassicales; Brassicaceae.
ACCAAUCAUCACCGGCCAUUCU